CAGGAAUGGGACCACAGGCUGCAAAUGGACAGAGCUCCUCCACACGAUGCUGGCAGUCCUACUGAGCUUUUCCUGCGAUUUCUAUGUUUGUCCAUGGGUUUGGAAGGUGCUAUCUGAGGACCUUUGGUAUCAGUGGGGACAUCACCAUGACCCAGUCUCCUCCGGUGCUGUCAGUGGGACGGGGCCAGACCGCAACACUCACCUGUACGGCCAGUCAAAGCAUUAGCAGCUCCCUUGAUUGGUACCAACAACGAGAAGGUCAGAAGCCCUCUCUCCUGAUCUAUUAUGCAACAAAUCGAUUCACAGGAGUCUCCGAUCGAUUCACCGGCAGUGGAUCAGGGACCAGUUUUACCCUGAAAAUCAGCAACGUUCAGAAUGAGGAUGUCGCUGACUAUUACUGUAUGCAGCAUAGCAGCUGGCCUUCACAGUGAU
Hemiscyllium ocellatum (epaulette shark) is the source of this 432-nucleotide non-coding RNA. Lineage: Eukaryota; Metazoa; Chordata; Chondrichthyes; Orectolobiformes; Hemiscylliidae. The record is from the annotation of a RefSeq genome assembly.